AAUGAACAAGUAAUUUUAAUUUACUCCCGCAAACAUAUGCAAAUAUAUUCCACCAAGAAUAUUAGUCGGUCCUCGCUAUCAACCACAUCUAAAACCAUGUCAACAAAUGGAAACAACACCACCUUAAAGUAUCCACACGAGAAGGCUCCUUAUAUUUGUAUUAACAGAAGAGCAAAAAGAUAUAGCUGUAUGAUUUCAGCGAUCCAAAUCCGCACGGUGCAGCGAUGCGCAAGACUACCAUUUCCAAUCGGCACACAUCCUCUCUCCUUCCACUCACUACCCUGGCUACAACUCUGGCUGCUAGUUUUCUUCAUCAGAACGCAGAGCUCAGGGCACCUCGUGCUGCAUGUUGUUGCAACUCCUGGGAUUUUCCACUUCCACGGAAGUACAUGUACACUUGCUGCAUGUUGAGUAAGAGAGUUUGGUGAUCACGAAAUAGGAACAACAUCAGUUGCAAUGCAAGGAUCUAUUGGCUAUGCCGAUCAGUCAAAUACAAAUUGAGCAUUUCAUCCAAUAUGUGCCAAUGCAUCUGCUCAUCAGUAAGGAGGGGCUAACACUACAUUUUUCGAAAAGGAAGAUAACCCCCGGCAUCUGCAUCACUCCAUGCACACAACCGCCUUUAUUAUUAUCCAAUAGAGUCUGAAAACAUGAAUACAUGGAUCAACCCGAGGCCACCUAUCUCGCGAACAAACACGCGAUACCUACAAUUUGUAAUGUGCCCGAACAGCAUGAACGCAUACCAUCUAAUCUGCCUCACACAGCUGCACUGCAUUGGGCCAAGAGCACCACCUGUUCUGGGCGACCCGCAACACGCACCGCAUGUGCACGCUCUGAUCCGCUGCCGCCAUCUUCCAUCGUCCCAUAUCCAGGAGUGAUCUACGCUUUGACCUUGUCAGGCCCAACUGCCAUCGGCGCCACCACGAGGCCAGACAGUGCCACCAGCCUACACGUGUCCAUCAACCUGCAUCCAACACUGAGAACCACUUCGCCACGCCGCCAAGACCCAUCCUCUUCGAUGCGGUUGAUACAACACUACUCCACCUAUUGGCCCCUUGAGUUAGUACCUUCUUGAAAACAAUGCGCCCAAGAGGGAGAACGGCACCGAUGUCCCUGUCAUCAUCCGAUCAGGGAGGCCCAGAUCUAGGGUUCCCCCAGAGCAAAUGCCACUAGAGGGAGAAGGGCAUGCCAUCUGCUGCGGCCAACGAGCCCACACGGUUCCCACCACCACAAUACUCUCAUGGCAACGCCUUCAAGAAGGACACGGUGCCCAGAGCGUCAGCGCGGCCCACCGAAGUUAGGGUUUUCACCCGAGUAGUAGUGAGGUGGGAAGAGAUAGGACAGAACCGACCGGCAAACGUCUCCAAGAAGAAAACUAGCGCCCCCGAGCAUAGUCGCCAUCACGGUCGACCGUAGACGAUCAUGGAGUUAUCCUCAUCUGAAGCCCCCACCACCCGCUCCGCCAACGGCCCUAUGACCGGCUAGACAAGCAUGGCCAAGAUCCGGCCGAGGUGGAAUGCACCAUGUCGGGACGAGAUGCAACCGCCAGAUCCGACGUCAUCGGCCAUCGGGGCAACAAAGCUCCGGCCCAACCUGCAAGGUAGCCGUCGGUCACCCGAUCCAGCGACCUGCAACCCUCCAGCCCCUCCUCAACACAUGAGAGGUUGGCCUCGCGAGAGGGCCACAACCCUAGAUCCGAGCUCUCAACCCUAGAUCAGGAGGAGCAGCGCAAGCCCUGCCGCCAUAGUCCUUGGCUGCGCCGCGGGCUCACCCAGCGUCAGCCUCAUGUGGCGGCGAGGUGGAAGGGAGGAAAUUGGGAGUCCUGGCAGCGCAAGGAGGAGUCGCCCUAGAGGGGCGGUGCCGCUCGAGGUAAAUACUACAUAAUCAUAACCUUAUGAAAAACAUGAGAACUAAAACAUUCAAUUGGCUUUUGGUUGUUAACUAAUCAAGCGGUCAACGCAUUAUCAUGGUUGGAAUAGAGAGAUAACAGCACCACCUGAAUAACAUAUAAUUGGCCAUGCAGACUAAGAUCUUCAAAUAACAAGAAUUUAAUCAUCCCAAGAAAAAGGAGAGAAACCACACCACCUGAAUGACUCCUAUGCUCAGCAGUCAUUCAAGGCAGAACAGUCCAAAUCCAACAAAGUAAAAUAUCUGCCAAAUGAAGUUCCACAAAAAUAAGACUGGCAGACACAAUCUCGUCCAAAUGCAAUCUACGAAGUAAAACCCUGAUACUCAUAUGCGUGUGAGGUAUGCCGCAGUUAUGUGACACUCCAACGUUCGUAAUGCACUUUAUCAAGGAAACAAGAUGAUCAUCGUGCAACUCUGCUACACGAAGAAGACCUGGGAUAUGUUGAAGGCAGUGGUUACGACUUACGAGGACCAAAUGAAGGACAACAUUUGCCCUCGCUACUGCAUGUGAAGAGCGGUGGGGAUGGGGGAAGUCGGAUCAAGGGAGAAAGCGGCGAUGGAGAAGGAUUGUGGUGCGUGAUAUAAGAGACAUUUUUCACACAAAUAAAAAUGACGUGAUAUAUUAUUCAUGAAACUGAAGUCCAGGAGUCUAGAGCGGUUGAGCCGCAUAUCUCCAUAUAUGCAUGUGGUCAUGGACCGAUGGUCCGUCUACAAAUUACUAGUGUUACUCCAUUUAAACACACACAAUGUGCAAUCAUAGAAUGUUAAUCUUCGGAUAUGUAUGGAAACUAGAUGAUUGGUUGAAGAGUCGUAGUGAUACGUCAACUGGCAGCAGACAUAAGGUGAUUCAUCUGGAAUAGGAUGCACAGAGAAUUGCAGUUGAAGAUCAACACUAAGCACAUGAUCUGCUUCUUGCUUCUCCCGGAUACAUGUCGUGGCUAUGUGCUUCGUGGCAUGAGGCAGUAUGCCCCUACAGAAUGUCCCAUGCCACACCAUAUGGUUAGCAAGAUGCUAUGGACUAAUUGGUUAAAUUGUUACAUCUUGAAUUGAGUAUAUAACAAAGCGAACUGAGCAUAGCUCAGAUGAUUAGGUUUCUUGUGGUGGAACCUGCCCACCAUGAUACUAAGUCAUAGACUUGACACGGAUGGUCACAAUUUUUUGGAUUUAUUCUGGGCUUUCUGACGCUAUUCUUUGAUCAGUAUGGCAUGCUCGUGAACUAUGACUCUCCCAGAGGCGUUCGUAAGGGUAGGUGAGUGUGUGCGCAUGUUUAUGAGAGUCUAUGUUUGUAUUCUGUUACUUAAAAAUUGAUUAUAUAACAACCAUAUAUCACCAAUUCACACAUAGCUACAUGUACUUGCAAAACACGUGAAAAAUUAUUCGUAAAUGUCAUGCUCCAUCUUUGGUUGUUUAUUAAUCGUCCUUUCCUCCAAAAUAGAACAAAACAUGUGUUAUUACUUAUUAACCAAAAUUUCAUCAAGCACGGAGACUUGUGCAUAUAUGGUCCUUGCGCAUAGUGAUAUCAUUGUCCUCCAGCCAUAUCAAGAAAAAGCGCCAAAUUUAUAUUAAGAUAAGUAAGAAAAAAACAUGUUUGACUUCACAACCUCUCCCAUUGCAAAGUAAAUUAAAAUUUAGGCAUCUGCUUACUUUCAGUAAUAAGUGAUGCCUACCCUUUCUAGAGAAAAUAAUCACAUCAUAUCCUGACAUGCUGUUGCCAUCCUUGAUUGAUUUCCUUACUGGUCCCAUUUUCCUAGUUUAUAAACCGAUCACACAUUUUAAGAUUCAACUUAGACUAUCAUUCAAUCCAAUAAUUUAUAAAUUAUUACCAUAAAAAUAUACCAUAGGAACUAUUGAAUAUGAAUGCAGUGGCAUAAUAUUUGGAUCACAUAACCUACGUUUUGGUAAAGAAAAAAGAACUUUUAUGCUCAAGUCAGUAAUUCCUAACGCAAAACAACAGUCAUCUUUUGGUUGCUUUUAUUGUCCACAGGCAUGUGUGUAAUAUGGCAUUCUAAGUUUGCAUUUAAAUAUGGAUCAUCUCGGGGAGUCAAAAGGGUAGGAUGGUCAUUUCAUGUUAAACCUUAAUGCAUAUGCCUAAAACACCUUGUAAAAGUUAAUAGAGGGAAUGCUAACAUGAGUGCCUAGUAACAAAGCAAGUGCAUCAUUUUGGUUCUUUCUUGGUCAUCUUAGCGACUUGCCUCGUGAGCCCUGUAGAUCUACUCAUUACAUGUUCAUUGUACAGUGAAGCCAUGAAGAUUGAAAUUAGAAAAAAUCAUGUGGACUAGAAUCAAAUUGUCUUUGUUCUUAUGAUGCUCACUACUUCACUACUAGUAAUAAAUUAACAAUUUAAUAAUAUUUUGUAUUAAUGUUUCUAUUGAGUUACACAGAGGAUUUGGUGCCAUGGCCUAUCUUCCGUUUGCUAUACCGAGUUGGAAUCAAUCAACACUAAGAAGUUUUUCAGUUUUGGUUGAGUUCGUGAUAGCUUUGUCAUGGUUUUCUAGCGGCAUUCGCUUUAAGGUUGCCCAUAUGUAGAGAAACAUUGCUAAUUGCACCACUCAUGGUAGACUUAAAUGGCCAAACCAUUGGCAUGUGAUGUUUGGUGGAGAAAUGAUGUAUUGACCACACAAAUGUUUAACUCCUAGACUUUAUAUGCAUAUCUAUCUUCCCCAUGUGGUGGGAUCAUGUCUAGUUGCUAGGAGAUAAUGCCAAAGCAUAGGAGAGCAACACUGAUGAGCAUGGUGAAUGCACCGAUAGUCACAUAUCAUGACCUAGCAGGGAAUGUGAUAUAUCAAAACUUUGAUUUGGAGCCUAGUAAAAAGAAAGAAAAUCCAUGUAAGAGUGGUUGAACUAGCAAACACCCAUCGUAUGGUGGCUCUAUGUUGUCAAUUCAGUGCAAUUCAUCCUAGAGUAUUGAGUUGUUGAUUUGAUCAGUCAGGUAUACUGGUUGCAUGAUCUAAGACUUCACCGAUCUCUAAUACUUGAAAAUGGAAGAGAAUAUGUAUGCAUUGUAUCCAUGUUUUCAUAAGUGGAAUUCUAGUCUUAGUCCUAAGAACACACAGUUAUUUGCAUCUGUUAAUCGCAUCACCUCUUGCCUUACAUCCUUAGAGGGCAUGUCGCAUUACUAUGAUUUACAACGCAUACCUUUAUACAUUGUUGUUGCACCUAGUUAGCACAAUUAGAUGGCAUGAUAGUAAAGCUCACAGUUCAUUCGCUUGUUCGAAACAAAAAAUCCGUCGUAAAUAAACUCAAACCAUAUGAAUAAGGCCACAUAAGGCAAUGGAUGCAACAAUUUAGUUCGACCAUACUUGAUCUAUCUUAAUUAACAAUGAUAAAAGAUCCAAUUGUUCUGAUAUUACAAAUAACCCAUGCCCAGCCAAGGAAUAUCAUGGCCAUAAUUAUGGCACGGUGUAGCAAUGUGCAAGACUACCAUGCCCAAU
Molecule: long non-coding RNA, 5336 nt
Filed under: Triticum aestivum (bread wheat)
Lineage: Eukaryota; Viridiplantae; Streptophyta; Magnoliopsida; Poales; Poaceae
Description: long non-coding RNA (TAES_LNC008720)
Source: RNAcentral